This is a long non-coding RNA of Hemicordylus capensis (graceful crag lizard), 340 nucleotides long. RefSeq lists it as uncharacterized. The record is from RefSeq and is a predicted model, not a curated record. The transcript is spliced from 3 exons. NCBI's taxonomy places the organism in Eukaryota, Metazoa, Chordata, Lepidosauria, Squamata, Cordylidae.
UAAAGAUCAACAGCACCUACUCAGGAGGAGAUAAGAACAUCAGUUACAGCUGAGGGCGGAGCUGUUUACCUCAGAAAUAGCAUGGCGAUCUUGAACUUUGCUGGAGCCCAAAAGGCGAAGUACAUUCUUGGCCCCCUCAGACACAGCAUGUUCCACUUGGAAGUGAUGUCGCAGCUCUUCAAUCCUCAGCUCUAAGGCACUGAGAUCAGUGUUACCUGCAAUUAAUAGAGGAUCCUGAUCCCAGAGAAUCCAGACAAUUCACAGAAGUCUGUCCCUCCCAAAGUUCAUAAACAUGAAAAUGCUGCUUUGGAACCUGUUCAACCAACUGCUGCCAUCCUGG